RNAcentral lists this ribosomal RNA (742 nucleotides) under uncultured bacterium. RNAcentral's name for it is "bacterial SSU rRNA". It matches the Rfam family "Bacterial small subunit ribosomal RNA", at positions 8 to 796 of the family's 1533-position model. The record is from RNAcentral.
AGAGUUUGAUCAUGGCUCAGAGCGAACGCUGGCGGCAGGCUUAACACAUGCAAGUCGAACGGGCCCUUCGGGGUCAGUGGCAGACGGGUGAGUAACACGUGGGAACGUGCCCUUCGGUUCGGAACAACUCAGGGAAACUUGAGCUAAUACCGGAUACGCCCUUCGGGGGAAAGAUUUAUCGCUGAAGGAUCGGCCCGCGUCUGAUUAGCUAGUUGGUGAGGUAACGGCUCACCAAGGCGACGAUCAGUAGCUGGUCUGAGAGGAUGAUCAGCCACACUGGGACUGAGACACGGCCCAGACUCCUACGGGAGGCAGCAGUGGGGAAUAUUGGACAAUGGGCGCAAGCCUGAUCCAGCCAUGCCGCGUGAGUGAUGAAGGCCUUAGGGUUGUAAAGCUCUUUCGUCCGGGACGAUAAUGACGGUACCGGAAGAAGAAGCCCCGGCUAACUUCGUGCCAGCAGCCGCGGUAAUACGAAGGGGGCUAGCGUUGCUCGGAAUCACUGGGCGUAAAGGGCGCGUAGGCGGCCAUUCAAGUCGGAGGUGAAAGCCCAAGGCUCAACCUUGGAAUUGCCUUUGAUACUGUUUGGCUUGAGACCGGAAGAGGUAAGUGGAACUGCGAGUGUAGAGGUGAAAUUCGUAGAUAUUCGCAAGAACACCAGUGGCGAAGGCGGCUUACUGGUCCGGUUCUGACGCUGAGGCGCGAAAGCGUGGGGAGCAAACAGGAUUAGAUACCCUAGUAGUCC